This is a long non-coding RNA of Spinacia oleracea (spinach), 620 nucleotides long. RefSeq lists it as uncharacterized. NCBI's taxonomy places the organism in Eukaryota, Viridiplantae, Streptophyta, Magnoliopsida, Caryophyllales, Amaranthaceae. The record is from RefSeq and is a predicted model, not a curated record. The transcript has 5 exons.
AAGUAUAAGGCGCUAGAUUAAAAAGGGGGCGGGAUUCCAAUUUUCCAAUUCUUUGAUAUUGAAAUUUCUUUCAACUUUUCCCUCAAAAAAUUCUUCACCCUAACUCAGACUAAUAUCGCAAAUGUCGAUACCCACCAUUGCUUCCCCAUCUUCUCCUCUGAAUUGAACGAGAAGAGAAAAAAUUGGCGAUCUCCUCUAUUGCAAAUUCAAGCAAUCGCAAUUGAACGUUUUUCACUAGAAGGUGCUCGACAAUGGCAGUUACUUGAUCGUCUUCCUCCCAAACCCCCCUUUGAGAUUAAACAUCACGAGGUUGCAAUUGUAAAGGUCAACAAUCUACCUUCUUCUAGGGUCAACCUGAAGGAAUACCUGGACCGAGUUUUUUUCUAUGAUGCAGUGAUGAAUGAGGAAGCUUCAAAUGAUAAGGGACUUCGGUUGAAAAAAUUAAGCCAAGUGAAUGACAUCUUUAUUUACUUUAUUUUGUUAGAUGAAUAAACAUUUGAUUAGUUAUUUAUUUGUAUGUUUUGUAUUUGUUAAGUUUAGAAACUUGCUAAUGCAAGAGGAUGUAAUGUAUGAAUUAUUUUUGAAAUAAUAGAAUUUCAAUAUCAAUAUUUGUUCCUUAA